ACGCUCGACACCUACGUGAGGCAGCAGUGGGGAAUAUUGGGCAAUGGGCGCAAGCCUGACCCAGCAACGCCGCGUGAAGGAUGAAGGCUUUCGGGUUGUAAACUUCUUUUAUUCGGGACGAAGAAAAUGACGGUACCGAAUGAAUAAGCCACGGCUAACUACGUGCCAGCACGCCGACGGUAAUCUGAGGCGGGCGUGGACGAAGGC
RNAcentral lists this ribosomal RNA (207 nucleotides) under uncultured bacterium. RNAcentral describes it as "partial 16S ribosomal RNA". It matches the Rfam family "Bacterial small subunit ribosomal RNA", at positions 328 to 538 of the family's 1533-position model. The record is from RNAcentral.